GACGAACGCUGGCGGCGUGCCUAACACAUGCAAGUCGAACGGACAGGCCCUGCUUUUGUGCGGUGGUCGAGUGGCGAACGGGUGAGUAACACGUGUGUAACCUGUCCCUGACUGUGGGAUAACUUCAGGAAACUGGGGCUCUUACCGCAUAGGAUCUCUUGCUGCAUGGUGGGCGUUGGAAAGUUUCGGUGGUUGGGGAUGGACUCGCGGCAUAUCAGCUUGUUGGUGGGGUAGUGGUUUACCAAGGCUAUGAGGGGUAGCCGACCUGAGAGGCGGGCCGGCCACACGAGGCCUGGGGGAAGGCGCAGACUAGAAUCGGACGCAACGGGGGAGAGGAUUACACAAUGAGCGGAAGCCAGAUGCGACAAAGCCGCGAGCGGGAAGACGGGCUUCGGGUUGUGAACCAAUGUGGCAUGAGACGAGGCGUUAGUGACGGUAACUGGUAAAGAAGCACCGGCUAACUACGUG
RNAcentral lists this ribosomal RNA (468 nucleotides) under uncultured bacterium. RNAcentral's name for it is "partial 16S ribosomal RNA". It matches the Rfam family "Bacterial small subunit ribosomal RNA", at positions 28 to 507 of the family's 1533-position model. The record is from RNAcentral.